Molecule: ribosomal RNA, 164 nt
Filed under: Epilobium canum
Lineage: Eukaryota; Viridiplantae; Streptophyta; Magnoliopsida; Myrtales; Onagraceae
Also listed under: 3 other names
Description: 5.8S ribosomal RNA
Rfam family: 5.8S ribosomal RNA
About the family: 5.8S ribosomal RNA (5.8S rRNA) is a component of the large subunit of the eukaryotic ribosome. It is transcribed by RNA polymerase I as part of the 45S precursor that also contains 18S and 28S rRNA. Functionally, it is thought that 5.8S rRNA may be involved in ribosome translocation.
Source: RNAcentral
AUAACGACUCUCGGCAACGGAUAUCUCGGCUCUCGCAUCGAUGAAGAACGUAGCGAAAUGCGAUACUUGGUGUGAAUUGCAGAAUCCCGUGAACCAUCGAGUCUUUGAACGCAAGUUGCGCCCUAAGCCAUUUGGCCGAGGGCACGUCUGCCUGGGCGUCAAUC